UGAAAAGGUGUCAGCAGGUACACAUGGAGU
Molecule: non-coding RNA, 30 nt
Filed under: Mus musculus (house mouse)
Lineage: Eukaryota; Metazoa; Chordata; Mammalia; Rodentia; Muridae
Source: RNAcentral